CCAUACCUUAUAUGAAGGAAUAGUAGAGGAAUCAUAGUAAAAGAGAGGCUACUUAGAAACUCAAAGCAGACAUGAGGGUUAAGUAUCCAAAGCUCUUCAAAACUUCAGGUAUGUUAAUUUUGAGUAUAAAAAAUUUUAAGGAGGGAGAAUGUGAUGGCCAACCCCUUAAGCCUUUGGACUGGCUUGAGAUACCUAGGCCGAUCUUCAAUUAAAAUCACGUGCUUAGCACAUAAGAGCG
Molecule: long non-coding RNA, 238 nt
Filed under: Elaeis guineensis (African oil palm)
Lineage: Eukaryota; Viridiplantae; Streptophyta; Magnoliopsida; Arecales; Arecaceae
Description: long non-coding RNA (EGUI_LNC082863)
Source: RNAcentral